UGCUUUACACAUCAAGUCGAACGGCAGCGCGGGACAAUCCUGGCCGGCGAGUGGCGAACGGGUAGUAAUAUAUCGGAACGUGCCCUGUAGCGGGGGAUAACCUAUCGAAAGAUGGACUAAUACCGCAUACGCUCUACGGAGGAAAGCGGGGGUCGCAAGACCUCGCACUAUAGGAGCGGCCGAUAUCGGAUUAGCUAGUUGGCGGGGUAAAAGCCCACCAAGGCGACGAUCCGUAGCUGGUCUGAGAGGAUGAUCAGCCACACUGGAACUGAGACACGGUCCAGACUCCUACGGGAGGCAGCAGUGGGGAAUUUUGGACAAUGGGGGCAACCCUGAUCCAGCCAUGCCGCGUGUGUGAUGAAGGCCUUCGGGUUGUAAAGCACUUUCGGGCGGAACGAAAUCGCGCGGGCGAAUAUCCCGCGUGGAUACGGUACCGUAAGGAAGAAGCACCGGGUAACUACGUGCCAGGCAGCCGCGGUAAUACGUAGGGGUUGCGAGCGUUAAAUCGGGAAUUACUGGGCGUAAAAGGGUGCGCAGGCGGCUUCGCAAGGUCAGACGUGAAAUCCCCGAGCUUAACUUGGGAAUUGCGUUUGGAAAUACGAGGGCUGGAGUGUGGCAGAGGGAGGUGGAAUCCACGUGUAGCGGGUGAAAAUGCGUAGGAUCAUGUGGAGGGAACACCGGAAUUGGCGAAAGGCAAGCCUUCCUUGGGCCAACCACUGAGGCUCAUG
RNAcentral lists this ribosomal RNA (728 nucleotides) under uncultured bacterium. Its description in RNAcentral is "bacterial SSU rRNA". It matches the Rfam family "Bacterial small subunit ribosomal RNA", at positions 45 to 751 of the family's 1533-position model. The record is from RNAcentral.